This is a long non-coding RNA of Brassica napus (rape), 2967 nucleotides long. RefSeq lists it as uncharacterized. The record is from RefSeq and is a predicted model, not a curated record. The transcript has 3 exons. NCBI's taxonomy places the organism in Eukaryota, Viridiplantae, Streptophyta, Magnoliopsida, Brassicales, Brassicaceae.
GGUUGUUGCCUUCAACCAUGUUGGCCUCAGUCACCAUUGCAACGAGAUCCUCCUCAGUGAGAUUCGCUUGAUGUUUCUUAUCUCUGAUCUUCCUGCGACACUCAGCAGUCUUGUGUCCCACUUUGUGGCAGUAGUGACACUUCCCCUUGAAUAUCUCCACAUUCGCAUUGAUUUCAAUGCCUUUGUUCUUGAAGUUUUAUCCAAAAGCCUUCAGGGCUUCAGCAGUUUUGGAAGGCUUGGCAAGAGAAUGGGCGUGUGUCUUUCCUUUGCCUUUGUGCUCAGCCAUAUUGACACUGUGCUCGUUAGCAGUGACCUUGUCAGCAGUUCGGUUUAUGGAUUCCAUCUAAAGCCUCAUUAUGAGCUCCUCGAGCCCUGGCCCAUCUUUUUCUUUUUGUGCUUCAAGUAGUUCUUGAAAUCUGCAUAGCUUUGAGGAAGCUUUUCAAUGAAGCUGAGAAUUGUGAAUGUCUCGCAGAUGGACAUUCCUUCAGCAGCGAUUUCAUGGCAAAUGAGCUGAAACGCUUCCACCUGAUCCAUGAUGGGUUUUGAAUCCACCAUUUUGAAGUCGUAGAAUUUUAAGACCACAUACUUUUGGCAGCCAGCGUCCUCACCUCUGUACUUCUUAUCUAGGGAUCUCCACAGCUCUUUCGCACUGGGAAUGUCACAGUAGACUCGGUACAAUGGGUCAAUGAGACGACCUAAAAUGUCUAAAAAUAAUCUUAUUGGACCGGGGACCCUCCACCAAGACCCACGCCCACGCUUGAGCCGAGCCGGCCGGAUGGCGGCGGCACGUGCGUGGGGAGAAAUCCUAUCCCCUGAAGCCGUUUAAGCAAUGAUAGUAAAGGAACAUAUAUAUAUUGCUCCAUUUUUCUCUUGCCAGGCGACGUGGGACUUUGCUCCACUUCUUCGUUCAUUUAACUUAAGCAAACAAUGUUUUUUUAUUAAAAACCUGUAGGUCCAUUUCGUUUUCACAUUUGACCAUUUAUUAUUUAAGCCAAUAGGUUAAAUAAUUAGGUGCAACAUCAUGUGCUUUUAUGGUUGUCAUCAAUGCUUCAACCUCCAUUAUAUUACGGUUUGAAAGUAUCAGGUAGGCACUGCCGCAUGGACCUCAGACUUUCUUGAGUCCAUUGUUUCCUUAUGGGCCUAAAGGACACUAGACCGGGUUCUCAGACCGGGUAUGUAGGCGGAGUGAAAUUCUCCAACAAUAGCCCCACCUCCCCUCCGAAGUUCGGCGUGACUCAGGUCGUCAGACAGGUUGUGGGUGUUGAUUCCGACGUGGGUGAUGUAUUUGAGACUGGUGGUCUAUGUGUUUCAAGGUCCAGUUCGAGAUUCUGGUUUGGCGAAUUAAUUACACGAUUUGGUUGAUGUAAAUCAACGGAUUUGAUUUUCCCCCUUAGAAAGUGGUUGUAACGUGGCAAUCAUUUCUUUUUGCGGUUCCCAAUUUUCAGAAUAUAAACUUUAUGUCUUCUUUUUUGUUUGUCACUUGCAUUUGCUAGAGAAAACUGAAAAUUGUUGUUCCUAAUUUUCAGAAUGUAAACUUUAUGUCACUCUCUAUUGUGCGGCACUGUUCUUGUCCGGUUUCCUUCUUGAUUUUCUGUUUGAUUUUACUUUUUAUGUCAUAAUUGUUGUUUUCAAGUUUCACCUUUGGUAUCUUGCUCUGAUUUGCCAUAAUCGCCGUCUUCUUCGUUGAGACUUAUUGUUUUGUGAAUACGAUUGCUAGGAUUUUAUGACGCGAGUGCUUGCUCUGAUGAUCAAUUUUGUUGCUUAUCUUAUGUUUUUUUGUAGCCGAGCCAGUAGAAUCUUCGUAUUUCGUAUCUGUCUUUGUUUCUAUUUUGUCAUUAUGCGUACAACUGUUACAAUCUCCAACCUUGUUCAGAAGGCGGCUGAAUCUGCCAAAGAGAGAGAGAGAGAGAGAGGGGAAAAGGUAAAAGCUGCUCGGGAAGCGGCAGCUCAAGAGUUUCACUUUUAAUAUGGAAGUUCGGGAGGCAGUUCCUGAAACAAUUCAUGUCAUGGUCCCUCCUUAUGAAGCCGCUAAGCUUAGUUCUUCGGUACAGGCCGUCAUGGGAAGUUGUGACAGACGCGGCUUUGAUGCCACCUCCGGUUCCUCUGACCCUUCUUGUUUUAAGGUUUGUUGUCGAUAUCUGUGGCGAGAGAGGCUGGUUUAAAACGACUGGUCGUCCUCCGGACGAGAAAGAUAUAUUACUCAGCUCAGAGAUCUUCGAUGGAUUCUCCUGCAAAUACAAUGGAUAGUUCCGAUAAGGGGUGCCGGUUGAUUUUGGAGACAAACUCUAGAAAGCGCUCUGCUCCUAGUUCCGGAAUCGGGAUCUCGUUGUCUUCAAAAGGCCUGGGGCGGACGAUGGGCCGAGCUCUCGACCUUCUGCGUCGAAAGGGCGAGUAUGCUUUUUCCUUCGAGUUUUUAGACAACAUUCAUCUUGCUAAUGAUGGGAAAGCUUGCUCGCGUCUCCAUUGUGAGAUCUGCCUCGCUGGUGAUCUUAGUUUUCCAGAGAAGAUAUUUGUUGGGAAUGACAUUUACGAAAGUGUAUACCGAUAUAAUGUUUUGUUUAUUUGUUGCAUAUGGGCUGGGUGAUUCGCAACCUGGCAUUCUACGAGUACAAGAUCCGAGAGGUUCGAGUUAAGGUCGUCAUUGCGGAGAAAGAAGCCCUUCAAUGUAAAGAUGCAUUGAAGGCGGAGCAAGCCAAAACCCAGAAAGUGCUCGUGCUAGGACUUUGUUAAGUUAGUUUUUGCAUUGUGCUAGGGAAACGGCUUAUUCAUGACCACACUACGAAGACGGAGAAAAUACAUACCCAAACUACAUUAACGUGCCAAAAUAUUUUCAAACUAUAUAAAAAUUCGAAUUGCUUACAUAAACUCACAAUUAAUAACUAAAACAUGCCUCAUAACUGACACAUGUCAGUCCUUUCUAAAAUGUGUUGAUUUAUUUUUUUAAUUAUUAUAUUUUAUUCUUUAUCA